GGGCGACUGUGGCAGCGGUCGCCGUGAUGCCUGAGGGGCUGGGCGGCUGACGGCGGAGUAGGAGCGGGCCCUGGGCCCAGAAUCUCUGCGCCCGCUGCUCGAGAGCGGCCUGCGCCAUGGCCACCUCCGCCGCCUCCUCGGAGCAUUUCGAGAAACUGCACGAGAUCUUCCGCGGCCUCCAUGAAGACCUACGAGGGGUGCCGGAGCGGCUCCUGGGGAUGGCAGGGACAGAAGAGAAGAAGUUGAUCAGAGAUUUCGAUGAAAAGCAACAGGAAGCAAAUGAAACGCUGGCAGAGAUGGAAGAGGAACUGCGUUAUGCACCCCUAUCUUUUCGUAACCCUAUGAUGUCUAAGCUGCGAACCUACCGGAAGGACCUUGCCAAACUCCAUCGGGAAGUGAGAAGUACGCCUUUGACAGCCACUCCUGGGGCCCGAGGAGACAUGAAAUAUGGCACAUACGCUGUGGAGAACGAGCAUAUGAAUCGGCUACAGUCUCAAAGGGCAUUGCUUCUGCAAGGCACUGACAGCCUGAACCGUAUUGAGCGUUCUCAUCGUAUUGCCGCAGAGACUGACCAGAUUGGCUCAGAAAUCGUAGAAGAGCUGGGGAAGCAACGUGACCAGUUGGAACGUACCAAGAGUAGACUGGUAAAUACAAGUGAAAACUUGAGCAAAAGUCGGAAGAUUCUCCGCUCAAUGUCCAGAAAAGUGACAACCAACAAGCUGCUACUUUCCAUCGUCAUCUUACUGGAGCUAGCCAUUCUGGGAGGCCUGGUUUAUUACAAAUUCUUUCGCAGGCAUUAAACCUCCUGUAGGGAAGGGUUUGUGGACCAGAACUGUGACUCUGUGAAUGAAUGGCGUUAGAGGUGUGGAAAAAAAUCUUAUUGCUGCUGUGAACUAGCGGUUCAAGAAGGCACUGUGUAGCCAGACUGUGGGUGGAGG
Molecule: RNA transcript, 938 nt
Organism: Capra hircus (goat)
Lineage: Eukaryota; Metazoa; Chordata; Mammalia; Artiodactyla; Bovidae
Gene name: vesicle transport through interaction with t-SNAREs homolog 1B pseudogene
Exons: 1
Source: RefSeq, a predicted model, not a curated record